RNAcentral lists this ribosomal RNA (1283 nucleotides) under Staphylococcus aureus. RNAcentral describes it as "bacterial SSU rRNA". It matches the Rfam family "Bacterial small subunit ribosomal RNA", at positions 56 to 1320 of the family's 1533-position model. The record is from RNAcentral. RNAcentral also lists the same sequence under 1 other name. Lineage: Bacteria; Bacillati; Bacillota; Bacilli; Caryophanales; Staphylococcaceae.
UGCAAGUCGAGCGAACGGACGAGAAGCUUGCUUCUCUGAUGUUAGCGGCGGACGGGUGAGUAACACGUGGAUAACCUACCUAUAAGACUGGGAUAACUUCGGGAAACCGGAGCUAAUACCGGAUAAUAUUUUGAACCGCAUGGUUCAAAAGUGAAAGACGGUCUUGCUGUCACUUAUAGAUGGAUCCGCGCUGCAUUAGCUAGUUGGUAAGGUAACGGCUUACCAAGGCAACGAUGCAUAGCCGACCUGAGAGGGUGAUCGGCCACACUGGAACUGAGACACGGUCCAGACUCCUACGGGAGGCAGCAGUAGGGAAUCUUCCGCAAUGGGCGAAAGCCUGACGGAGCAACGCCGCGUGAGUGAUGAAGGUCUUCGGAUCGUAAAACUCUGUUAUUAGGGAAGAACAUAUGUGUAAGUAACUGUGCACAUCUUGACGGUACCUAAUCAGAAAGCCACGGCUAACUACGUGCCAGCAGCCGCGGUAAUACGUAGGUGGCAAGCGUUAUCCGGAAUUAUUGGGCGUAAAGCGCGCGUAGGCGGUUUUUUAAGUCUGAUGUGAAAGCCCACGGCUCAACCGUGGAGGGUCAUUGGAAACUGGAAAACUUGAGUGCAGAAGAGGAAAGUGGAAUUCCAUGUGUAGCGGUGAAAUGCGCAGAGAUAUGGAGGAACACCAGUGGCGAAGGCGACUUUCUGGUCUGUAACUGACGCUGAUGUGCGAAAGCGUGGGGAUCAAACAGGAUUAGAUACCCUGGUAGUCCACGCCGUAAACGAUGAGUGCUAAGUGUUAGGGGGUUUCCGCCCCUUAGUGCUGCAGCUAACGCAUUAAGCACUCCGCCUGGGGAGUACGACCGCAAGGUUGAAACUCAAAGGAAUUGACGGGGACCCGCACAAGCGGUGGAGCAUGUGGUUUAAUUCGAAGCAACGCGAAGAACCUUACCAAAUCUUGACAUCCUUUGACAACUCUAGAGAUAGAGCCUUCCCCUUCGGGGGACAAAGUGACAGGUGGUGCAUGGUUGUCGUCAGCUCGUGUCGUGAGAUGUUGGGUUAAGUCCCGCAACGAGCGCAACCCUUAAGCUUAGUUGCCAUCAUUAAGUUGGGCACUCUAAGUUGACUGCCGGUGACAAACCGGAGGAAGGUGGGGAUGACGUCAAAUCAUCAUGCCCCUUAUGAUUUGGGCUACACACGUGCUACAAUGGACAAUACAAAGGGCAGCGAAACCGCGAGGUCAAGCAAAUCCCAUAAAGUUGUUCUCAGUUCGGAUUGUAGUCUGCAACUCGACUACA